Molecule: ribosomal RNA, 468 nt
Filed under: uncultured bacterium
Lineage: Bacteria
Description: partial 16S ribosomal RNA
Rfam family: Bacterial small subunit ribosomal RNA
Source: RNAcentral
GACGAACGCUGGCGGCGUGCUUAACACAUGCAAGUCGAACGGAAAGGCCCUGCUUUUGUGGGGUGCUCGAGUGGCGAACGGGUGAGUAACACGUGAGUAACCUGCCCUUGACUUUGGGAUAACUUCAGGAAACUGGGGCUAAUACCGGAGAGGAGCUCCUGCUGCAUGGUGGGGGUUGGAAAGUUUAGGCGGUAGGGGAUGGACUCUCGGCUUAUCAGCUUGUUGGUGGGGGAGUGGCUUACCAAGGCAUUGACGGGUAGCCGGCAUGAGAGGGUGACCGGCCACAUUGGGACUGAGAUACGGCCCAGUCUCCUACGUGAGGCAGCAGUGGGGAAUAUUGCACAGUGGGCGGAAGCCUGUUGCAGCAACGCCGCGUGCGGGAUGACGGUCUUCGGGUUGUAAACCGCUUUCGCCUGUGACGAAGCGUGAGUGACGGUAAUGGGUAAAGAAGCACCGGCUAACUACGUG